RNAcentral lists this long non-coding RNA (1542 nucleotides) under Triticum aestivum (bread wheat). RNAcentral's name for it is "long non-coding RNA (TAES_LNC002075)". Lineage: Eukaryota; Viridiplantae; Streptophyta; Magnoliopsida; Poales; Poaceae. The record is from RNAcentral.
UCGCCAAUCGAUGCGGAGAAGAUCUCACCGGCCGAUGCAAGGAAGUUCAUCCGCCGCUUUUCAAGCGAGGAGUAAAGUGCUCGCUUGUUUUGUAUAUAUCAAUUAAUGGCAGUCGAGGGAGUGAUGGUGACGGAUGGUGGAGGUGCGGUACAAUUUUGCUCUGCUAUGUAUAUGAGCUAUGUCCGUCCCUCAAUACCAUGUCAACUGGCCUUCUAAACCAGGCUGCUAUCUGCAUAUUUUUUUCCUCCCCGUUACCUUUUCCAUCUGAUCAGUCCUUCUCGUCCUAAAUCUGUUUUAUCUUUUCUCUUUUUUGCUGCAGGUUAUGGUAUAUUGUUUGGGGACUAUUCAAGGCUGGUUCUGGAAUUUUAUUGGAAGAGAUAUUGAUGGGUUGACUAUUUGCAAUGGCAAUCAGGUUAGUUAACAUGGAGUGCUAAUCGAAAUGAAUUUCUUGACCACUGUAUAAUGUAGUCUGUAGGAGAGUGGCAAGGCCGACACAUACCUUAGUUAUUAGGUGUGAGAUACAUCUCCAUUCUAUAAAGUUUUUUCUCUUCUUUGGUAAGGUCUUUUACUAUUAGGCCAACAAGAAGUGCAGGCUGCACGCCGCGAGCACUGAGCGCAGUCGAUGAGCUCGCCGCCUGUUGAAACUCCGUUGCUGAACAUGUAUGGUGACCUUAAUAUAUAUCUCACAAACUACAUCAUGAUUGGUCUCCGCCCUUGGAAGCCCUUGGGAAGUCAUCACACGAGGCAUCUCAUCUAUCCUUAGCAUCAGCAUAGCAAGGUACAUAAAUUCCUGUAUCCUAUUUUCUCUAAUCUAAUUCAUUUAAUCUUAAGAAUUUUGAAGGGCAUCGACAGAAAGGAUUUCCCACUUCAUAUUGAACCGAUAGCCAUUCAGAUUUAUAUUCAACAAUUUGUGCCGCUGCAGUUCAAUUUUUGCAGCUUUUAAAUUUGUGUACGCAAGUUGUUUGACGUAAGUCCGACUAGGCUACAGAUGAUUGUUACUGAAUGAAUAUGUGAAUGACUUUCUUUGCAUAUUUUUUAAUUUUGGAGUUGAUGUAGUUCCUCAAGGAUAGACUAAUUCAUAGUUUUCUCAUUCAGGUCUAGCAUAGUUCAUUCUAUCAUUGGCAUUCAUAGAUUAUUUUGUGCUUGGGAUGCCAUAUAAGUUACCGUGGGAUUACUAUUUUGUGGGUCGAUAAAAUCCUUUGAAAAUAACGUCAUGGAAAGAAGAAGCAUCCCUGGAAUAUCUCUGUUCUCUCCCUUAAAGUUUUCUCAAACUAUCUAAUACCCCGUGAAAUGAAUCUCAACUAUUUAAUUUUCAUAUUUUUUAUCAGUGAAGCAUUAUUAUUAUAUUCGUUUUUAUAUCAUAUGUCACUUGUGAUGUUUGAAACUCUAUAAUAUUUGGCUGAUGUCCUAACUUUGCUUUCUUAGGACGAUGAAGUGGGUUUGAGCCAAGACCUCUAAUGAUGUUUCUAAUUCUCUUUCUUCAAGUGCCUUCAUCUGGUGGACAUAAGUAGUCUUAGUAUUGUACCUGGUAUUGAUAUCCAG